This 883-nucleotide ribosomal RNA is filed under the name uncultured marine bacterium. Its description in RNAcentral is "bacterial SSU rRNA". It matches the Rfam family "Bacterial small subunit ribosomal RNA", at positions 56 to 931 of the family's 1533-position model. The record is from RNAcentral.
UGCAAGUCGAACGGUAACAUAGAUUGCUUGCAAUCUGAUGACGAGUGGCGCACGGGUGCGUAACGCGUAUGCAAUCUACCUUUUACAGGAGAAUAGCCCAGAGAAAUUUGGAAUAAUGCUCCAUAAUAUCAUUUAUCAGCAUUGAUUUAUGAUUAAAGCUCCGGCGGUAAAAGAUGAGCAUGCGUUCUAUUAGCUAGUAGGUGAGGUAACGGCUCACCUAGGCUACGAUAGAUAGGGGCCCUGAGAGGGGGAUCCCCCACACUGGUACUGAGACACGGACCAGACUCCUACGGGAGGCAGCAGUGAGGAAUAUUGGACAAUGGAGGCAACUCUGAUCCAGCCAUGCCGCGUGCAGGAUGACUGCCCUAUGGGUUGUAAACUGCUUUUAUAUAGGAGGAAACACUCCCACGUGUGGGGGCUUGACGGUACUAUAUGAAUAAGGAUCGGCUAACUCCGUGCCAGCAGCCGCGGUAAUACGGAGGAUCCAAGCGUUAUCCGGAAUCAUCGGGUUUAAAGGGUCCGCAGGCGGCCUGUUAAGUCAGAGGUGAAAUCCUACAGCUCAACUGUAGAACUGCCUUUGAUACUGAUAGGCUUGAGUUAUUGUGAAGUGGUUAGAAUGUGUGGUGUAGCGGUGAAAUGCUUAGAUAUCACACAGAAUACCCAUUGCGAAGGCAGAUCACUAACAAUAUACUGACGCUCAUGGACGAAAGCGUGGGGAGCGAACGGGAUUAGAUACCCCGGUAGUCCACGCCGUAAACGAUGGAUACUAACUGUUCGUCCCGCUUGCGGGAUGAGUGGUCAAGCGAAAGUGAUAAGUAUCCCACCUGGGGAGUACGCUCGCAAGAGUGAAACUCAAAGGAAUUGACGGGGGCCCGCACAAGCG